Pelodiscus sinensis (Chinese soft-shelled turtle) is the source of this 1521-nucleotide non-coding RNA. Lineage: Eukaryota; Metazoa; Chordata; Testudines; Trionychidae. The record is from RefSeq and is a predicted model, not a curated record.
AGGAUCUCUACUCCUGGCGCCGAAACCACAGACUUCUAUGGGCACAUGACUGAGACCCUGGUGGAAAGGGGACACCCCACCCCGGAUCUUAUAACAAAUCCGGAGUAAAAUUAAAGAACUACGCCAGGCUACGCCAGGGAGCACAACUCUCGCUUCAGGGCAGGACCCCACUCCUGUCCCUACUACAAGGAGCUCCACCAGGGGGUGGUGGUGGACACCCAGGGUCGCCCGCCCAGAGCUCGCAGCAGAGGAGGACGACAAGGGACAGCAGGGGCAGGAGGAGGAGGACACAGUAUAAGGACUAAAGGCUCUUUAUUAUUAUGAUGAACUCCAUGUUGUUUUAACAAACUCCAUCUUGGACAAUGGACUCCAUUUUGUCUCACUAAACUCUAUCUUGGAUUGUGCCCUGCAUUGGAAAACCAGCUCCAUCCGGUUUUUCCUGCCAGAGCUGAAAUCACCUCAGGUGUGCACUACACUGCACAUGGCAUGGGACAUUUUGUACACAGCACAGAGACAGUGCACAGAGACAGCGCCCUUACUGCUUUUCCCGCCUAAGGAACUUUAAAGAACUGUUACCUGAGGGGCUCUUGCUCUUCUCCUCCUGAUCACUUUGCUCUUCGGUCCUCUGGUUCUUGGCUUGUUGCUGAUUCUGGUCAUCCUGCUGUCGCUCCGUGGCGAAGGCUCGAGUGAGGCCUACCAUCCGGCUACGGAAUAGAAGCUGCCUAAGGACUGGAAUCGCUGAGCUGCUGUGGGUGCCUCCCAUUACAGCCUCCACUGAAGGGUGUGGAGAUUUGUGUCUGGGGACAUCCAGCAGAGCUUUUAGGUUCCUUUGCCUCAUUCCGGAAUCCUGGUCCUUGUGCUGAAAGCCCUCAGGAGCUCAAGGAAUCUGUGAUUAAGCUAAACUAGAACAACAUCUCCAUGGGAUCACCUAGUGUUUCUCCCUGACAGCAGGUUCCCUUGCUGAACGGAAGAAGGUCCUAGGCUUGCCUCCUUCCUCCAUCUAUACGUGUCAUCUUCCAUCUGAGCCAGACACCUUAACAACGGCCAGCACCUAGAUACUGAUCCCUGGAGCUGGUACCCCAGGGCCUGGACGAGUCUCAAGCAUCCUCUGAAGGCGGGGAGAGAUCAUCAGCCGAACCAGCCAUCGCUGAGAGGUGAUCCACACCAGUCGAGGCAGCCGAGGGACUCGAAAGCGCAUGAGGGUCCACAAAGACCUCCUAAGGCAGCAUGUGGGCAUCCUGCAUGAUAUGCAGCAGACCCUGGGGCAGAAGGUCCAGUAGGACGCUGAGUGGUGGAGCUGCAUGUGGGACCAGCUUGUGCGGCAGGGCGACAUGUGCCAUCAUGUAUGAAAUGAUGGAACACCCAUCUGCUGUCCCUGGUCCUGCCUCCCAAUCUCCUGCCCCCUUGCUAUGCCCAUUCCCCACCCCUGCCCUCUAAGCGAUGCCUCUGUUCCUUCUCCCUGGUCCCCUGCAAUCCCUGACCCUGCUCCAGCCCACCCUCAUCUUGUCCCAGGCCCCACCC